This 337-nucleotide RNase P RNA is filed under the name Litorivicinus lipolyticus. RNAcentral's name for it is "Litoricola lipolytica Bacterial RNase P class A". It matches the Rfam family "Bacterial RNase P class A". From Rfam's summary of the family: Ribonuclease P (RNase P) is a ubiquitous endoribonuclease, found in archaea, bacteria and eukarya as well as chloroplasts and mitochondria. Its best characterised activity is the generation of mature 5'-ends of tRNAs by cleaving the 5'-leader elements of precursor-tRNAs. Lineage: Bacteria; Pseudomonadati; Pseudomonadota; Gammaproteobacteria; Oceanospirillales; Litorivicinaceae. The record is from Rfam by way of RNAcentral.
GAAGACGACUGGACAGUCGCCGGCCAUGUAAAUGGCGGGAGGAAAGUCCGGGCUCCAUAGAGCAAGGUGCCAGGUAAUGCCUGGGGGGCGUGAGCCCACGGAAAGUGCCGCAGAAAAUAUACCGCCUUCGGGUAAGGGUGAAAAGGUGCGGUAAGAGCGCACCGCAUCCCUGGUAACAGUGGAUGGCAGGGUAAACCCCACCUGGAGCAAGACCAAAUAGGGAUCCUUUGGCGUGGCUCGCGCUGGAUCCGGGUAGGUUGCUUGAGCGCGUCAGCGAUGGCGCGCCUAGAUGAAUGACUGUCCACGACAGAACCCGGCUUAUAGGUCGUCUUCACCU